Long non-coding RNA from Eriocheir sinensis (Chinese mitten crab), 985 nucleotides. RefSeq lists it as uncharacterized. The record is from RefSeq and is a predicted model, not a curated record. Lineage: Eukaryota; Metazoa; Arthropoda; Malacostraca; Decapoda; Varunidae. The transcript has 8 exons.
AGCUGCAGCUGACGUGUUACAGUCAGAUGAGCCACAAUGGGCGCAGGUCACAACAGGUCACCACAUGCAGGUCGGAGGUCACACAGCCAGCGUCCACAACCUGACCCCUAAGAGUGGAUACCAGCUGUCUGGAGUGGAUACAGAAGUGGAUUCCUUACAGCAUCGGAACUCCCGUCAAGAUCUCGGUCACCCUCGGAGUCUCGUCACUGGAAACUUCCCGAGGAGCUGCGUCGGCGCCUCACACUCCACCUCCAAGCUGACCCAGGACUGUCCCGAGCUGAGCUGCACGACAUAACCUAUGCUAGGAUCGAACCCGCCCGCAACCUCAAGAUCAACAAUUCCAUCGAUUGCAAGGCCAGUCCUCCCAUUGAUGGUGAGAGCCCCUGCCCCCUCUCCCUGGGCCCCCACACCAGUGCCACGCUGCCCAGGCCCCCUAAGACCUGGCGGCCGUCAAGUUUUCCCUCCUGAGCUGCCGGUGUUGGUGGUGCCCAGGCUGGAACACUCCCCGCCCAGGGCUACGCCAACCUGAGGAGGCACAGCAAGACUUCUCCUGGCUUAUAAGAGGGACCAUUAAGAAACAUGAUCCCCGCUGCUGCCACCACCACCGGGUAACAUGUGCCGGCGACGAUCUGUUCACACGUCACUUGCCGCAGCGUUGAGGCGGGAUGCAGCGUGCUCUGAGGCCACCCCGGGCAGGAGGCAAGAUGUGACCUCCUGCACCAAACCUUUGACCUCUAUUCAGGAGCAAUCUCACAACUGAUGGAAGCUGGGACGGAAAGUUGCUGAAAUGUGGACUCGUCUCAGCUGGUCUCAUCUGGUCUGCCCCAGCAUUUAGGCAGCAUCUUGAAGGCCUGACUGGUCUCCUCAGCUCAGUGGUCUCGUCUCUGUCUCCUGCCCUGCAAGAGUCUGGCAGAGUUUAGUGCCAAGAGUGUGUGUGUGUGUGUGUGUGUGUGUGUGUGUGUGUGUGUGUGUGUGUGUGUGUGUG